GUAGGGUGCAAGCGUUAUCCGGAAUCAUUGGGCGUAAAGAGCUCGUAGGCGGUUCAGCAAGUCGGCUGUGAAAUCCCGAGGGCUUAACCUCGGAACUGCAGUCGAUACUGCUGUGACUAGAGUCCGGUAGAGGAGAAUGGAAUUCCCGGUGUAGCGGUGAAAUGCGCAGAUAUCGGGAGGAACACCAGUAGCGAAGGCGGUUCUCUGGGCCGGUGCUGACGCUGAGGAGCGAAAGCGUGGGUAGCAAACAGGAUUAGAUACCCUGGUAGUCCACGCCGUAAACGUUGGACACUAGGUGUGGCGUUCCGACCAACGGGUGCCGUGCCGAAGCUAACGCAUUAAGUGUCCCGCCUGGGGAGUACGGCCGCAAGGCUA
RNAcentral lists this ribosomal RNA (375 nucleotides) under uncultured organism. Its description in RNAcentral is "partial 16S ribosomal RNA". It matches the Rfam family "Bacterial small subunit ribosomal RNA", at positions 527 to 896 of the family's 1533-position model. The record is from RNAcentral.